GACGAUGGGGAUGCGUUCCAUUAGAUAGUAGGCGGGGUAACGGCCCACCUAGUCUUCGAUGGAUAGGGGUUCUGAGAGGAAGGUCCCCCACAUUGGAACUGAGACACGGUCCAACUUCCUACGGGAGGCAGCAGUGAGGAAUAUUGGUCAAUGGGCGAGAGCCUGAACCAGCCAAGUAGCGUGAAGGAUGACUGCCCUAUGGGUUGUAAACUUCUUUUAUAAAGGAAUAAAGUCGGGUAUGGAUACCCGUUUGCAUGUACUUUAUGAAUAAGGAUCGGCUAACUCCGUGCCAGCAGCCGCGGUAAUACGGAGGAUCCGAGCGUUAUCCGGAUUUAUUGGGUUUAAAGGGAGCGUAGAUGGAUAUUUAAGUCAGUUGUGAAAGUUUGCGGCUCAACCGUAAAAUUGCAGUUGAUACUGGAUAUCUUGAGUGCAGUUGAGGCAGGCGGAAUUCGUGGUGUAGCGGUGAAAUGCUUAGAUAUCACGAAGAACUCCGAUUGCGAAGGCAGCCUGCUAAGCUGCAACUGACAUUGAGGCUCGAAAGUGUGGGUAUCAAACAGGAUUAGAUACCCUGGUAGUCCACACGGUAAACGAUGAAUACUCGCUGUUUGCGAUAUACUGCAA
Molecule: ribosomal RNA, 621 nt
Filed under: uncultured bacterium
Lineage: Bacteria
Description: bacterial SSU rRNA
Rfam family: Bacterial small subunit ribosomal RNA
Source: RNAcentral